RNAcentral lists this ribosomal RNA (492 nucleotides) under uncultured bacterium. RNAcentral's name for it is "partial 16S ribosomal RNA". It matches the Rfam family "Bacterial small subunit ribosomal RNA", at positions 29 to 507 of the family's 1533-position model. The record is from RNAcentral.
AGUGAACGCUGGCGGUAGGCCUAACACAUGCAAGUCGAACGGCAGCACAGUAAGAGCUUGCUCUUACGGGUGGCGAGUGGCGGACGGGUGAGGUAUACAUCGGAAUCUACUUUUUCGUGGGGGAUAACGUAGGGAAACUUACGCUAAUACCGCAUACGACCUACGGGUGAAAGCAGGGGAUCUUCGGACCUUGCGCGAUUGAAUGAGCCGAUGUCGGAUUAGCUAGUUGGCGGGGUAAAGGCCCACCAAGGCGACGAUCCGUAGCUGGUCUGAGAGGAUGAUCAGCCACACUGGAACUGAGUCACGGUCCAGACGCCUACGGGAGGCAGCAGUGGGGAAUAUUGGACAAUGGGCGCAAGCCUGAUCCAGCCAUACCGCGUGGGUGAAGAAGGCCUUCGGGUUGUAAAGCCCUUUUGUUGGGAAAGAAAAGCAGCAGGUUAAUACCCAGCUGUUCUGACGGUACCCAAAGAAUAAGCACCGGCUAACUUCGUG